RNAcentral lists this ribosomal RNA (253 nucleotides) under uncultured bacterium. RNAcentral's name for it is "partial 16S ribosomal RNA". It matches the Rfam family "Bacterial small subunit ribosomal RNA", at positions 524 to 776 of the family's 1533-position model. The record is from RNAcentral.
UACAGAGGGUGCGAGCGUUGUCCGGAAUCAUUGGGCGUAAAGGGCGCGUAGGCGGUUCGUCAAGUCCUGUGUGAAAUCCCCCGGCUCAACUGGGGAACUGCACAGGAAACUAGCGGGCUUGAGUUCGGGAGAGGGAAGCGGAAUUCCGGGUGUAGCGGUGAAAUGCGUAGAUAUCCGGAGGAACACCGGUGGCGAAGGCGGCUUCCUGGACCGACACUGACGCUGAGGCGCGAAAGCUAGGGGAGCAAACGGG